GUGGGGAAUAUUGGACAAUGGGCGCAAGCCUGAUCCAGCCAUACCGCGUGGGUGAAGAAGGCCUUCGGGUUGUAAAGCCCUUUUGUUGGGAAAGAAAUCCUGUCGGUUAAUACCUGGCGGGGAUGACGGUACCCAAAGAAUAAGCACCGGCUAACUUCGUGCCAGCAGCCGCGGUAAUACGAAGGGUGCAAGCGUUACUCGGAAUUACUGGGCGUAAAGCGUGCGUAGGUGGUGGUUUAAGUCCGUUGUGAAAGCCCUGGGCUCAACCUGGGCAUUGCAGUGGAUACUGGAUCACUAGAGUGUGGUAGAGGGAUGCGGAAUUUCUGGUGUAGCAGUGAAAUGCGUAGAGAUCAGAAGGAACAUCCGUGGCGAAGGCGGCAUCCUGGGCCAACACUGACACUGAGGCACGAAAGCGUGGGGAGCAAACAGGAUUAGAAACCCGGGUAGUCC
Molecule: ribosomal RNA, 450 nt
Filed under: uncultured bacterium
Lineage: Bacteria
Description: partial 16S ribosomal RNA
Rfam family: Bacterial small subunit ribosomal RNA
Source: RNAcentral